This 260-nucleotide ribosomal RNA is filed under the name uncultured bacterium. RNAcentral's name for it is "partial 16S ribosomal RNA". It matches the Rfam family "Bacterial small subunit ribosomal RNA", at positions 92 to 354 of the family's 1533-position model. The record is from RNAcentral.
UGAGUGGCGGACGGUGAGUAACGCGUGGGCAACCUGCCCUGUACAGGGGGACAACACUUAGAAAUAGGUGCUAAUACCGCAUAACGGGGGGAGCCGCAUGGCACCCCCCUGAAAACUCCGGUGGUACAGGAUGGGCCCGCGUCUGAUUAGCUGGUUGGCAGGGUAACGGCCUACCAAGGCGACGAUCAGUAGCCGGCCUGAGAGGGCGGACGGCCACACUGGGACUGAGACACGGCCCAGACUCCUACGGGAGGCAGCAG